GGAAAGAAAGAAGGAAAGAAGGAAAGAAAGUAAGAAACAUCUGAAACUGGACUAAUGUUUUAAAAAUUAUGACCCAAAUCUAUCAAAAAUAGAAAAAACAGAGGAUGGUCUAUUUAAUUUCUUGAUCAGUGCUACUUUUUCAACAUAAAUUUCUGGUCUACUGUUAAAUUCUUACCUUUCCCCUCAAGACUUUUUCUUCAGCAAAACUUUGCAUGGUAAUUUUUAAAUUGCUCUGGAUUGUGUGAUUGCACUUGCAACCACUUUUCAAAAUAGUCAUUGUAAGACAUAGUAUUAACACAGAAAAAAAAAACAUUCACCCCCAUACUUGAUCCCAUGAGGAAUACUUAAUUAAUGAAAACAAAAUGCGAUUUACUAACAUCGUAAGUUCAGCAGACAGAAAUGAUGUCAUUUUUCCUGUUUGGUUGUGAUCUGUUGACCUGAGAGUUCCAAGGGCGCUGGCCAAUGCUUGUUUACGUAGCAGAGCAAAAGCAACAACUGGAAAUGGGAUCACAACUAUGAAAUAACAGUUUACAGCAAGGGUAGGGAACUCCUGUGUGCUUGUGGGACAUUAUUUGAGGCAAGAACAUGAUCAAGUGAAAGAAGUAAACAGCCAGCUCUUCAUUAUAUGAGAAAGUAGAGUUGCGCUGUUAGGAAUAAUGGAAACAAAUUGUUUCUCCAGGGAGGAUCCAGCUUGGCCCACCAGCUGAAUGCCCUUGGUGCUCAGGGUGCACUUGCUCCCACCACCUCUUUUUGGGAGUGUUACACCAAGCUCCCCUUUGCCUUGAAAGGGCUACCUGGAGUAUCUCCUUCCACCUUGCUGCUACUGAGGCUGGCACACAAACCAAAGGCAGGUUCUGGAACCCAGGAUCAUAAUCUUCUGCCCCUCCCUCUUGCCCAUGACACUAAACACACCUUUUCAAUAACUAAUAGGAGCUUGCUUGUUCUGAGCUGCUCUAUGGAAGAUCUUCAGGUUAUUCAGUCAUAUGCCUCAGGGAAGUGGUGAGUUCACUUUCAAUAAUGGCAAGAGUUUCUGGAAAAGUCAGUCAAUGUAGAUGAUGGCAAUCGGAGACAAACAGGAGAACAAAUGAAAUGACUGUGUUCAGAUGCUCAGAGAGGUGACUGAAGUGGGAAACAAUGUUCUGAUUGCUGCUGCUGUUGAUAAACCAGGUUUGAAGGACUUUCUGCAGAAAUGGAAUGAAAUCCAUAAAAACAGAUAAAGUAACCGCUUAAAGACACGAUGAGACCACUACUCCACUACUUUCCAUAAUUAAAUUGUUAUAAUUAAAGCAUAUUUUUUUGUUUGUGGGUUUUUUUUUAGACAUAUGAUGCAGAUUAUUCUUUUACAGUGACUUGUCUUCCUAAUUAAUUACUACCCUAUCAAAUAUUAUGUCUUCUAUGGAGCCCAGAAGAGAUAAUUUAUCCCUGUUUAUGUCACUGACAAAAAAGAAUGCACAGGAUCAAAAAAUAAUUUCUGAGAAAUUCUGUAGGAAGCAGACCUACUCAUCACAUGAACUGUUUUUUGAGACUUCUUAGCCAGUUUUUUUGUCUCUGAAACAUAUGCUCUGCUAGUGCCAUUUCAUGCAAAUGUUUUCUAAACUAAACGUGCAGGUAAUAAUUCAAAUGAGUCAGAAAAAUCCAAGAAUAUAAUGUCAACAUAGUUACAUUUUCCUAUGUAGGUUUAUGACAUUUCAAGAAAAAAAAUAACAAGAUUAAUUGAUCAGAUAGACCUUCUACAAACAAGCAUACUAACCGUCCUCACUUAUAACCUUUAAUUCUCUGUUAAAGCUCAACUUACCAUUUUCUAAUUCCAUGUAGAAUCAACCUGCAGCUAAUAAAUGUCUAUUAUGCUUUUAAAAAAAAACUGGAAGAACAUCAGUGAUUUCUUAGACUGUUGAAGUUUUCUUGAAUUUGUUUAAAGAUGAUAAGUAGUUUGUAGUGAUUCUUACUCUCUUUGUUUAAAAUUUUUGUUGAAGUACGAACAUUCUAUUCCAU
This is a long non-coding RNA of Numida meleagris (helmeted guineafowl), 1992 nucleotides long. RefSeq lists it as uncharacterized. The record is from RefSeq and is a predicted model, not a curated record. NCBI's taxonomy places the organism in Eukaryota, Metazoa, Chordata, Aves, Galliformes, Numididae. The transcript has 3 exons.